This is a non-coding RNA of Pelobates cultripes (western spadefoot toad), 213 nucleotides long. The record is from the annotation of a GenBank genome assembly. Lineage: Eukaryota; Metazoa; Chordata; Amphibia; Anura; Pelobatidae.
ACUAUAGACAGGUAGAUUUAUGUAUAAUGUCCCUCUGUCUCUUCUUUUAGAAUACGCAUGUAAAUUUUAUAUUGAAACUUGGUAAUAUACUAGUUCUGGUUCAGACAAUUAUUCCCUGGGAAUAACUGGGAGACAGAUUAAGUGGAGAAACACAACUGGCGGAGUUAAAGGGGAGAGACACACCUGGGGUACAGAGAUAAAGGGAAGAGACAC